AUAUCUGUGGAGUUAGUGACUGAUACUGUAGUGUCUAGGAUAUCUGUGGAGUUAGUGACUGAUACUGUAGUGUCUAGGAUAUCUGUGGAGUUAGUGACUGAUACUGUAGUGUCUAGGAUAUCUGUGGAGUUAGUGACUGAUACUGUAGUGUCUAGGAUGUAGUGUCUCGGAUAUCUGUGGAGGUAGUGACUGAUACUGUAGUGUCUAGGAUAUCUGUGGAGUUAGUGACUGAUACUGUAGUGUCUAGGAUAUCUGUGGAGUUAGUGACUGAUACUGUAGUGUCUAGGAUAUCUGUGGAGUUAGUGACUGAUACUGUAGUGUCUAGGAUGUAGUGUCUCGGAUAUCUGUGGAGUUAGUGACUGAUACUGUAGUGUCUAGGAUAUCUGUGGAGGUAGUGACUGAUACUGUAGUGUCUCGGAUAUCUGUGGAGUUAGUGACUGAUACUGUAGUGUCUAGGAUAUCUGUGGAGUUAGUGACUGAUACUGUAGUGUCUAGGAUGUAGUGUCUCGAAUAUUUUAUUUAUUUAUUUAUUUCACCUUUAUUUAACCAGGUAGGCAAGUUGAGAACAAGUUCUCAUUUACAAUUGCGACCUGGCCAAGAUAAAGCAAAGCAGUUCGACACCAUACAAAAACACAGAGUUACACAUGGAGUAAAACAACAUACAAUCAAUGAUGCAGUAGAAGAAAAACAUUUAUAAAAAAAUAUCUGUGGAGGUAGUGACAGAUACUGUAGUGUCUAGGAUAUCUGUGGAGUUAGUGACUGAUACUGUAGUGUCUAGGAUGUAGUGUCUCGGAUAUCUGUGGAGUUAGUGACUGAUACUGUAGUGUCUAGGAUAUCUGUGGAGUUAGUGACUGAUACUGUAGUGUCUAGGAUAUCUGUGGAG
This 883-nucleotide long non-coding RNA is filed under the name Salmo salar (Atlantic salmon). RNAcentral's name for it is "lncRNA (ENSSSAG00000094981.1, ENSSSAG00000120240.1)". Lineage: Eukaryota; Metazoa; Chordata; Actinopteri; Salmoniformes; Salmonidae. The record is from RNAcentral.